UACGGGGGGAGCAAGCGUUGUUCGGAUUUACUGGGCGUAAAGGGCGCGUAGGCGGCCAGCACAAGUCAGUUGUGAAAUCUCCGAGCUUAACUCGGAAAGGUCAACUGAUACUGUGCGGCUAGAGUGCAGAAGGGGCAACUGGAAUUCUUGGUGUAGCGGUGAAAUGCGUAGAUAUCAAGAGGAACACCUGCGGCGAAGGCGGGUUGCUGGGCUGACACUGACGCUGAGGAGCGAAAGCGUGGGGAGCAAACAGG
Molecule: ribosomal RNA, 254 nt
Filed under: uncultured bacterium
Lineage: Bacteria
Description: partial 16S ribosomal RNA
Rfam family: Bacterial small subunit ribosomal RNA
Source: RNAcentral